GAUUUCUUAUAUUUCAGGAUGUCUGGUCAUACAAAGCCAUUGAUAUUCCUGAUGUACGGAUUUUUACAAUAAAUCAUCGUGGAGAGCUGAAACAGGAAUCUUCCUACACAUUUCAGUCCUCGUACUACAGUCUGUCAGAGAUUGCUGACCAUUUCUUUCCUCCGCGGGAACGCUUAGGGGUGUACGACAAUCACUUCAGCACUGUCAAGUACUGGAAAGACCCCCUACCCCCGGUGACAGAGACUGAGAUACUGGAGAUAGACAAAGACGACCCGGCCGCUAAAUGACAACCACCGUCCGCAGACAAGCAGUCCGUCUCUGUUCCAGUAGAUCCGACAUUGUCGCGCUCCGACAGCAUUCUCCAGAGUGAUAAUAGCUACGACCUCCUGGAAACGUUUUCAGAGAGUGAGACAGAAGAAGACAUUAGGCUAACGCAGGCCUUGGAGCCGAGACAGGAAUUUCAGAAAACUGGGAAGUACUGGCUAAUGCCUUUCAGUUUCUACAUGUAAGAAAACAAAAGACUUCCAAAAUUGUCAAAUUUUCAAAAUUUUAUUUUAAGGUUUUAAUAGUUUUCAGUUUUUUUUAAAAAUAAAAAUUAGAAUUUUUUUCAAAACUCUGAUGGAUAAAUUUGUUGGCAGUUUGGUGCAGAAUAAUUGAGUAUGGCUGAUAGUUAGGAUUUUUUACCAAACUUUUGUUAGUUUGAGUUGAUCUCUUUUUGUUACAAUUUACGUAAAUUUCCCCUUCAGUGUUCAAAUUACCCCCUUUAGUUGUAUUUUCCCAUUCCCCCGAGGAAACCCUGUUUGUCUGUGGUACUAUGCUGAAUUACUGUGUUCUGUUGUUUAAAGUAAGGAAGCACGGGAACAAAAUCAUGUUUAUAUACUUAUAUAUUUGUUACAGUUUUUACAUUUAUAUUUGUUUUCAUCAAUCAGCAGAAUGUUCAGUUUUGAGAAAUUUGCUGCUAGAAGAAAGAUUGUGAAAUAAUUUAAAUAAAGGCAGCAAAAUGUGAUUACUCUGUGUUGAUACUAUUACAUGUGAUUCAUUGUGUGUGUAUCAAAGACUGUAUUGUUUUGAAAUCUGUCAGAAAUUUAAGCAUAAUACAGUCAGUCAUGAGUACCAAUAUAUAUUUUUGUUGUGUAGAAUUCAUUUCAGAUGACCAUAUUUUUCUUCCUUAUUGUCCGAGUUUAAAACUGUAAUUUGUUCAAGUAUAUGAUUAUUUUUGUUUUAGUACCGUUUUAAACAUUAAUUUUUUUUUCGAACAUGGAUAAUUGAAAACUUUGACUUGCUAUUUAGUGUUCUUUGAAAUGGAAUUGAUUUGUAAUUCCUUUCAUAGUUUACAUUUACAAAUUCUGUAAGGAGGUAAAUAUCCACUCCCUACAUCUCCUCUUGUUUGCUAAUGGUCAUUUAACUGUCAUAGGAGUUCAGAAUUUAGUGUUUUAUAAUUAAGUAAGAGUCUUGUGAACACUGUGAUAAUUAGACAAAUGUGUAAAAAGAGAAUAAGAUAUUUGUAUUUACCCUAGUUAUGGCUGAAAGCUGGGUGUAAUUUGUGAUGAUGGCUUGAUGUAAACUUUAGUGGAGGGCUGUGUCAAACUUUCUGAAAUGAAAGUAUGGAAUAGGAUGUAUUAGUAAUUUAGAUAUACAGUAGAGAUGAGUGAAGCACUUCAGAUGGGUAGUAUGAUUAAAUGUUUUAUCUAGGUUAUGGAGCCAGUUGAUUUACACUGUGAUGCAUAGCACCUCUAUAUUGAUAAGCCAGCUGGUUUAGGGAGUUGUAGAAGGUUACGGAGUUCUUCCACUAGUCCGUCAGCUGCUACAGGUGAUAUGAUAGAUUAUGAUAGCUAGAUUCUGUGAUACAUUAAAUCUGGAUCCAGAAACAAAGUGAUGGUCAUUCUGUGAUGAUGCAGGUACAGCCAAGCCUCACCAGUUCCUUAGAGUCAGGGCCACUGGUUUAUUACUUAUAUUACAAUAUACACAAGAUAUAAGAUAUCAGGGAUACCGUCAAAAGAGAAUGUCGAUAUUAAUACUAAUGUGACAUCUGAAUAUUACAAUUCGAUAAAAGUGGUAUGUGUGUAGUUUCAUUAUAUGUCCAUGAAUUCUGUAUACAAGUGAAAUAGUCAUUUGUUAGUGGAUUGAUCCAGGUAGAUGGGGUCAGCAGUAUUAGCUGUGUGUAGGUAGGAGGGAAUGAGUAUAAGACUAUCGAAUGGAGUGUGAGUUACAUUGAUACACAUGUUAUUACAACAGGUUGUCUGUGUGUAACCAAGUAUGUGGAAAAUUGUGGCAUUUUAUAAAUGGUCAGUCUUUGUUCACUGAGGUUGACCUAAUCCUUUAUGCCCCCCCCCCCCAUUUUAUAGACACUUGUGAAUGAACAAUUUCUUUUCACUGUUUGAUAAAUUGUGCAUGCUGUAUAUCUGUAAUAAAAAGACAUUUGCACAUGGGUGUAUACAUUUACAAAUCGAUGAAAUCAUGAUUUCAUUCAAAUAUUUGCACAUAUUGUGUUGAAACAAUUUUGUUGUAGCAUGUGUCAGUGUAAGUACAUGUAUAUGGUAUUUAAACCGUACACUUGUGCCCUUUGCAUACAAGUUUUGAAAUGUUGAUAAACAGAUGUGUGUGUCUCUAUUGUUUAACCAUUUGUAUAAGCAUUGACAUAUUUGUACAGGUAUUAUAGCUGUUAACAGUAUUUUGGAGUGGGGCCUGACUUUUGUAAACAGGCACCUGUCUUUUGCUAGGCGACUGUGUGCUACAUAAGAGUAAUAAUGGAUGUUGUAGAAAGAAAUUAUGUUACUGAUCAGGACUCUUGUUUGAUUCAGACAAUAAAUGGAAUGCAGAUUCAUUUAUUGUUCUACCUCAUUUGAUUAGCUCUUCUCUUCUGUUCUAUUUGUAGCAUAUGAAGAAUUGGUUGUAUUGUUAAAUUAUUUUUCUUGCGUUUUGAAAACAAUUACAAUUAAUUACCAUUUGGACAAAUAAAUCUCCUGAGCUCUUCAUGGGAGGCACAGAUAUGUUUAUAGAAAUUAUUACUGAUAUAAACUGGUCAUACAUUGUUCUGUAUGUUAAUACCUAUGAAGGUAUAUAUAACACUUUGGAUUGUCUCACUGUUAUUGUUUGAAAAAUAGGACCUUGAAUUUCUUGUUUUUAUAACACUGUUAUUGCAAUAAAGUACUUUAAAGUAAA
Molecule: long non-coding RNA, 3162 nt
Organism: Magallana angulata
Lineage: Eukaryota; Metazoa; Mollusca; Bivalvia; Ostreida; Ostreidae
Exons: 2
Source: RefSeq, a predicted model, not a curated record